Molecule: long non-coding RNA, 1036 nt
Filed under: Equus caballus (horse)
Lineage: Eukaryota; Metazoa; Chordata; Mammalia; Perissodactyla; Equidae
Description: lncRNA (ENSECAG00000049223.1)
Source: RNAcentral
CUAUAUUUUCAUGUCUAUAUCUUCAUUUAACAAUGAUUUUCUUAAUAAAAAUGUUUUCAUCCCCUUACCUAAAACUACAUGUUAGACUGAGGCUGGGUCAUUUGAAAACAUUAUAAAAUUUGUGAAUAAAAUAAUACAUGGGACCUGCUUGAUUUCAAACCUGUCAUUAUGUGGCCUUGUGGCCUUGGUUACCAUUCUAGAAUGUUCUUUGUCUUUUGGGGGCAAAGCUUAAGAGAAACAUUUAAGGAAACACCCACUUGGAAGGAAGAACCAAGAGUUGACUCCAUUCCAAGUGAUCCACUACCAAGUAAUCUGGUCACCAUGUUAGCUCCAUCCGAAUGGUGUGUGAGAUGCUGAGGGUGACUGGACACAGAGUGGAGUCCUGCCCAGGAGCACGUGAUAGACGGGACCAGGCAGGCAGCAUUGCAAACCAGCCUCUGCUCCUCUAGCAGAGCGUGUGGCUUGGCAUGGGGGAGUGGUGUCAGUCCAGAGGAAGAGGCACCUCUUAGCAAUCCAUCAGCCAAGAGAGAUGCCUUUGUGUAAUUAUCUUCCCAGAAGACCCAUGAAAUAUCAAACGCUGGACACUUUUCAAAACAAAACAUUUUACAAAACAAAAGACGGCUCAUGAGGACCACCAGUGACCUCGGAGGGGUCAUCAGUAGCUCUUAAGAUCACAUUUUGGAGAAAAGUCGUCAGAUCUAAAGUUACCUAACUUUUAGACUCAGAAUUGAAACAAUUGUGAGCUUUGGGUCAUCAUAUUCUAAGUGAUAUUGUAUGAAAAGUCGUAUAUUAAAGAAUCAAAAUCAUUGUUUCCUUAUGGCCAUUUCUUCUCUGUUACUCUUGAAGGAACGGUGUGAGGCAUCCCACACAUUAGGCAGCCUCAGAAAAAUGGAAGAAAAAUUAGUUCUGGUUUACCCCAGGGAUGCUAGAAAGCCCUGGAACAUGAAGGUCAAACCUGGCACAUUCUCAUUCCCUGAGAUGGACCUCCAAGAUAUCUUUCUUCUUCUAUCUCCACCCUACCAUUGACACAAGCCUU